GUUUUUUUUUCGUUUCCAAGAGGCACGGCCGUGACUCUCGCGAAAGCACAACCGCGCCUCUCGCGGAAUCAAAACCGUCCUCUCGUGAAAGGAAAAAAAAUAGAAAACACAUUUUUUUCCGUUUCCAACAGGCACGACCGUGCCUCUCGCGAAGACACAACCGCGCCUCUCGCGAAAACAAAACCGUGACUCUCACGAUAGCGCAAUUUUUUUUGUCGAAAAGCUAGGGAAGACCGGUGAAAAACCAAAACGUCAUAAAAACCUGGAAAAAAACGAUUAAAAAGCCAAAACACGUGCAAAAAAAAAUCGGAGGGAGCGCCGAGAAUGCGACAUGUGACGAAUGGCUAAGAGCGUGGCAAGUGAUGCUGAUCGUUACGAGGCUCCCGAAGAAGAGCUCGUUAAUCUGUUGCUUCCGGUUUCGUUUGAGACUCCUCCAUUUCGAUUUCGGCCCACUAGUGGAGUGACUCGAAAUGCUUGACCGAUCAUGAGGCCUCCUAUAUGACCGAAAUUGUGAAGAGUUCGUAUUGCAAAAUCGCUUUCACUUUCUUAUGUUGCAACAAGUGGCGCACUGCAUGUGCGCUACUUGUCACAACCUGGCAAUUUUUGUUUUCUUUGAUUCGUUUAUUUAAAACGUUUUAUCUCUUAAACCGUGCGUUCAAAUCUCGAACCGUUUUCAUCCUUAAAUUCUUCGCGUCGAAUCUUCAAAACUACAUCCCAUGUUGAUAGGUUUUGACGAAAUAUUUUUCACCAAAAAGACGGACGAAAAUACCGAACAGGGAGCACGGAAUUUUUUCCCUUUCCGAAAGAGGCACGCCCGUGCCUCUUGCGAAAUCACAACCGUGCCUCUCGCAAAAGCAAAAUCGUGCCUCUCGCAAAAGCAAAAUCAUGCCUCUCGCGGAAGGAAAAAAAAGGAGAAAACAUUUUUUUGUUUCUGAGGAGGCUCGCGAAAGCACAACCAUGCAUCUCGCGAAAGCAAAAUCGUGCCUCUCGUGAAAGAGAAAAAAAACUGAAAUCAUUUUUUUUUCAUUUCCAAGAGGCAUAGUCGUGCCUCUCGUGAAAGCACACAAACAUGCCUCUUGCAGAAGCAAAACCGUGCCUCUCAUGGAAGAAAAAUAAAAUAGAAAACACGUUUUCCGUUUCCGAGAGGCACAGCCGUGACUCUCGCGAAAGCAAAAGCGUGUCUGCCUCUUGCAGAAGCAAAACCGUGACUUUCGCGAAACGAAAGAAAAAAGAAAGGUGUUUUUCGCGAAAAAACCAUUUAAAAAGACGAAAACGCGUGCGGAAAAUUUAGAAAAAAAUCCGGAGGGAGCGUCCAGAGCGCGAGACGUGGCGGGCGGCUGAGAGCGCAUCAUGUAGCGCUGAUCGUUGUGAGACUCUCGAAGGAGCGCUCGUUAAUUAGUUGAUCUCCUAUAUGUCGCAGCACGCACUAAGAACGCAGCGGGCGCACACCCCCCGCUCCCCCUCCGCGCCUUUCUGGGCCGGCCCAUGUGCGGCCGGCACGCCGCCUGUUUUUGUUUCGUCUUUUCCUUCGCGUUUUUUUUGUUUUUUUCAGUAAUUCAGGAUAUCAACAGCUUCUAAAUUUCAGUAAAAGUUAUUAAUUUGAAAAAAAACAAUCAUGAUUUCGAAAUAAAUAUUUCAAAAAUAUGCUCGGGAAUUCAAACAAUGUUCAUGAAGAUGUAAAAAAAUGUUCACGAAUUUAAAAAAUUAUUCAUGAUUUCAAAAAAGUUCAUGCAUUCACGAAAUGUUCACGAAUUUGCAAAAAAUGUUCAUGAUUGCAAAAGAUGUUCACAAAUUUAAAAAAAUGUUCAUGAUUUCAUAAAAAGUUCAUGCAUUCACGAAAUGUUCACGAAUUUGCAAAAAACGUUCAUGAUUACAAAAAAAUUGUCUUAAAUUUAAGAUAACAUUCAUGGUUCAAAAAAAUGUUCGUGAAUUCAAAAAAUGUUCAUGAUUCCAAAGGAAUGUACAUUUUUUUGAAUUUGAUGAACAUAUUUUGAACAUCGAUGAACAAAUUUGGCACUUGAUGAACAUUUUCUUUAAUUUGAUGAACAAAAUUUGUGUUAGAGAACAUUUUUUUGGAAAAAUUAUGUACCAAAUUUGCAUUCAAUGAACGUUUAAAAAAAUGAUGAACACAUUUUUAAUUCAGUGAACAAAUUUUGAAUAUGAUGAACAUUUUUUGAAUCUGAUGAACAAAAUCUCAAUGAAAAAAAAAAGAAGCCGAUGAACAUUUUUAGUUUGGUGAACAACGUUUGAAUUUUUAUGAACAAUUUAAAUCUUAUGAACAAAAAAUUUAAUUGGAUGAACAUUUUAGGAUUGUUGAACAUUUUUUUUGCAUGGUUGAACAUUUUCCGAAUUCGAUGAACAAAGAAGUUUUUAAAGAAUUCGAGAUAAAAAAUGCCAAAAAUAGUCAAAAAGUGAAGAAGAAGAAAAUAGAAAAAAAGGGAAAGAAAACAAACGAGAAAGAAAAAUUGGAAAGAACAGAAAAAUGAAAAAAAAACACUAUAGAAAACAUAAAAACAAAAAAAAAAACGGUCCUGGGAAGAUUCUAGAACCUUCCCAAAACCGGCAGAACCAGAGGAAGGGAAGCGAACUGGGCCGUACCGAUAAUGGAAGGAAAGACGCAGGCGGGGUACGCGCUACGGUGCUACACGGCUACCUACGCGCCAUAUAGGAACCACGACCGAUCAUCCCAUUCCCACGCUUUUUCGCAGGUUGGAGAAGGUGGACUUGAGGAGCUCAAGAAGCAUCGCCAAGAUCGUCGGAACCGUCGUCUGCCUCGCCGGAGCAAUGCUCAUGGCGUUCUUCAAGGGCCCAAAGCUUCUCGGCGCCCUCCUCCUGCCGGCGACCGAUGACUGGGUGAGAGGCGGCAUCUACCUCAUGGGGAACGCCUUCUGUUUCUCCAUCUGGUACAUCUUGCAGGCAAGCAUUGCAUGCACCUUGGCUUGAAAACAUUACCCUGUUACUGUUAGAUUAUAGACAAAAUGUGUAUGCUCUGUGCGAUCGAAGAGAGGGAAAAUGAUCAAGUCCGCGGUCAUUUUCAGGUACCGGUCUGUAAAUCCUACCUUGAUCCACUAUCCUUGGCAACCUGGAUGUGCUUCCUAGCGACCUUGCAAUGCGCGGUGAUGGCCUUCUUCCUAGAAGCAAACUACAUUGAGAUCUGGAAGCUUGCUUCUAUUUGGGAGCUCCCCUGCAUCUUAUACGGAGUAAGUUUUUAGUCCAUUUAAAUGCACGCAAUGGCAUGGUAAUCCACAUGUUAUUCUGAACUGCGUCGAAUGUUGAUAUAUAAUGAGUUUGGCCACUCAACAACAUUGAACAAUUUUUGCAGGGCGUUUUCGCAUCGGGUGCAAACUUUUUUAUGCAAUCUUGGUGCAUAUCAGUGAAAGGCCCACUUUACAGCGCAAUUUUUACACCGCUGAGCGCGGUCAUCACAACAAUAUUGUCUACGCUCUUCCUUCACGAGGAACUGCACAUUGGGAGGUAUGUCGACGCUUCGUUCCUCUUUUGGUGGACUGAACUUCCUAUUCUGCUCAGUACAUAAUCACUGUCACUGUUGAUGAUGUUUACGAUGAAAUUGUCUGUGUGCAGCGUGUUGGGUGCUAUUGUGAUCAUCCUAGGCCUGUAUGUUGUGCUGUGGGGUAAAGCUGAUGACGCAAGCAGCGAGGGGCUGGCCAUCCACUCUAAUGAUUCUGAAAGCAUUUUAGAGCAAGAUUGUAUGGGUGUAAAAGUAGAAAGUGGGAUCAAUCUUUCAGAACCAUUGUUAUCAUCUGAAAACGCGGACGCUGAUGCUUCGAGACGCCAGUGAUAUUGCAGUUUUUCAGACACAGCCUCCAGCCUUUGAGUUAUAAUGAUCCCUUUUUCUGAUACUUCUUCCACUGCCUGCUUGUUGCCAAAAUAUGUGUAUAUAUAUUUUUUUCAUUGGAUAGUUCUUGGCCAAUGGGCAAUGGCCAUGCUAAAUUAUCAAACACGCAGUCUGGCUGUCUGCACAAUGCUUAAUGUGCCGAUCAUAUAUUUGACCCAGCCAGUCAGGAACCCAUCACUGUCCGGCAUUAUGAGGAUUAAUCAGGGAAGAUGGAAGAUAUUGGAAGAUGCCAAUUGGCAAGGACUGAGACCUAUAUAUGUUAAGAAUGACUACUAGUCUAACAAGAGAGUCACACACAAGGGACGACAAGAAGGCGAUGCCUAGCUACAACUAUUCUUGCAAGUGAAAGUGAAACAAAGAUGAUAUCUCUUCAUUGUUUACUCAUGACAGUGUUACCUAAGCUCUUCCUUCAUGAAGAACUCCAUACUGGGAGGUAUGCACUAACUUCAUUCCUCAUUAGGUCCACUGAACCCUGUUGUGUUCAGUCAUAAAUCAUAAUAACUCUUUGUUGUGGAUGAUGUUUACAGUGAUCUUUUUCCUUUGACGCAGCGUAUUAGGCGCUAUCACCAUCGGCCUCUAUGUAGUCCUGUGGGGUACAGAAGACGAUGGAGAGAGUGAGAGCAUGGUGGAGGAGAACAGGCCCGACCCUCGCGUCGCCCACACCGGGCGACUCGAGGGGAACCCCAGCCGCCACCGACCGCCGCCCCUCCUCCCGGCCACCCCCGCGUCGCCGCCGCCGGAGGGCCGGCCGACGAAGCCGCGCCGGACCCAGGGAUGGCGGCGGCGAGGCCGUUCUUCCCCCAUCCCGCUUCACCCCACGCCCUUUCCCUCCACAGCUCCUCCAGAUCUGUCCCCUGGCGGCUCCAGCGGCUUCCACCGGCGCCGUGAGCGGCCUCCCCCGGCGGUGUCUUCCCCGCCCGCUGCUGGUGUGGUGGGUCUCCCUCCGGAUGCGGCUCCUCCUGCUGCACUGGUCCCGUCUGCCCCAUUUGGAUCUGGGGCCCAGCCGGUUGUGGUGCUCCCCAGCCCGCUUGCCGUGGCGGCCGGGCACGCCCUCCUUGCUGCGUCCACCCCUCCCCCGACCCCCGCCACUCGUCCCUCUGCCGUCGCGGGUUUCCUGGUGGUCGCGCUUCAGCACCAGAUCUGCGGGUUCAGGUGGCCUUGUCGGCCGGCUCCCCGUGCUCUCUCGUUGCGGCCUCGCGCUGGCCGUGGUGCACCUCAGCCUCUCCUUGUUGGGCGCGGCGCCCCGGCGUGUUGCUGCUUCUUUGGCCCUCCGUAGCUCGCUUCGCAGCUCAUGGCUGCCUAGAUUGUUGGGCUACGGCGGUGGUUGGCCGACUUGCUCCGGUUGCGAGGUGGAGGAGGCACUGCCGGGUGAAAACUUCAUCGACGAUGACGGCUGCAGCCGCCAUUUUUCCUUCUUGAAGGCGUCGAGUUUGGCAUUGUUUCCCUCCCCCCCAAGCACUCAGAUCCCGAGAGAAAUCUCGGACCCGGGGUUCCCCGUGUCGGAUGGUGUCGACGUCUCUACGCCGUUUCCUCCUUGGGGGCAUCUUCUUGGAUUUCUUCUGCUUCGGGUGGACUCGCCUCUUGCUGCUUCCUCUCCACCUCGGCUUCGAUCCCUGGCUGGCCAUUGUCCUUGGCGACUCGAGUGGAGCUUGCUUGGACAUCCUGGGGUGGCCUCGACGACGCGCUGCCCUUCGACCUCGGCGGCAGUACACCGGUACUGCGCCCUUCGGUCUCGGUGGCGUGUUGCCUUCUCGGCUUCGCUGGCGGCACACCGGUGUCGCCACUCGAACUCGGCUAUUCGACGCUCUUCGUUCGCGCCAGUGAUGCUUCUCGAUAUGCUUCUACUUCGGUGUCUCCUUUCUAUCAGGGAUGUGCUUCAUGGUGGCCCGGACGACGUUUGCGUGGACAUCCUGGGGUGGCCUCGGCGGCACGCUGCUCUUCGACCUCGGCGGCGGUACACCGGUGCCGUGCCCUUCGGUCUCGGUGGUUUGUUGUCUCUUGGCUUCGCCGGCGCACACCGGUGUCGCCGCACGAACUCGGCUAUCCGACGCCCUUCGUUCGUGCCAGUGAUGUUCCAUUGCGAGUUUCUGUUAUGGUGCCCGUCUUUUUCUCCCUAGGCCUUGUUGUGGUUCAUUGUCAGUGGUGGAACAAGCUGCUCAGCGGAGCUUGCUACCUGAGAUGUCGGCCUCCAGGGGUUUCGGUUUGGUUCUGUUGCCAGCCUUCCCCUCCAUUUUGUGUUCUUUCUUCUAGUUUUGGGCUUCCUCUUGAAGCCCUCCCCUGUUAUUUUCUUUUGUGCCUUUGUGCACUUACUUGUAUCUGUACUGACUGCCAAGUCACUUUCGAGUGGGAAUAUAACAAGCGGUGGGGUUUUUGGCCCCCCCGUCAAUCUCGAAAAAAAAAAAGAGUGAGAGCAUGGUAGAACAAGAGAACAUCGUUGUAAAACUAGAGAGUGAGAACAAUCCUUCAGAGCAAUUGUUAUCUGAAAACGCGGACGCUGAUACUACUUGGACAUGCCAAUGAUAUUGCGCUACUCUAAAAAUGAGCCUCUGGCCUUUGAACUGAUAAUCAGCUGUCUCCCAUGCUUCCUUGAACUGUCUGUCACCCAACAAAACAAAAAAAUUCGUGACUUUGCAGCCAUGCUAAAAUUAUCAGACACGGAGUCUGGCAGUCUGUUGAACGCAUAUGAUCUUCGGAGCAGAUUUGACCCAGGCAGCCACGAGCCCAUCGCUGUCCAUCAUUACUAGGAUGACUGAGCCAACAUGGAAGAUAUAUAUCGGAAGAUGCCAGUUGGCUAUUAAGACAGUGAGGCCUAUGUUCAGAAGGGCUACUAGUCCAACACGAAAGAGUCGCGCAGAAACGACAUCGGCAAGGUGGUGCGAUGCCUAGCUAUAACGAUUCUUGCAGACGAAUGUGAAACGAGUUGGAUAUCUUGGAGGUUGUGGUGGGCUGGACCUGCCUCUCCCAUGAAUCAUCAUCCAGCACAUAUGUCUUCAUAGCUUCUCUUUCUAGUAAUACUUCGGUGGGAAGGAUGGCACAAAUAGUCAGAGAAGAUUGAGAGCAUGCCUGCGCGUCUGUCUGCCACCUUGUAUGCAAAUGGGGACGGUAAUUAGGUGCACAACUUCAGGCAGUUUCUCCUUUACUCAUAACUAGUAAGCUUGCACGUGCAAUGCACGUCUUGAUUAGUACAAAAACAAUAUAAUGAGCAAAUGAAAUGAUGACACAAUCAAUUUUAUUAUCUGAGAAGCACCUACUCUCAAUCAUGCACACAUAAGUAAACCACAAAAACCAUGCAUUCAAAAUCACUAAUGUGUAAUACUAAUUCAUCAUCCCUGGUAAACUAUUAAAAAGAUAAACAAUUGCUCACAGAACAGACUAUGGGUAGGAAUAUAACAUAAAUGAAUAGAUACUGUCCCAUCUCCAUUGAGAUGCCUUCACCAAGAUUAUGUUCUCUACUUCAUCAUCUUUAUCCCGAGUCAUUACUUAAAAGUUAUUAAGUUGUUCAACGAUCAACACACAAUAUCAGAUAUAAAUAGUACUCCCUCUAUAAAGAAAUAUAAAAGCGUUCAGAUAGUGAUCUAAAUGCUCUUAUAUUUCUUUAAGGAGGGAGUACAUACUUUCAUGGGGAAAUAGUAAAAAGAAAAUACACUUUUCUAGCAGUCUGAGUACAUAGUCGUACUGCCAGGGUAAGAAAUUGACAAGAUAAAAAAUCUAGUAUUACAUCAUCAGUACAUGGAAACCUCAUUGGCACACAUGAAUGCAUCCAGAAAUGACCCUGGAUUGCCAUCACAAGCCAUUAAAACAGCAUCCCAAUGUUGCAAAAAGGGUUGCUUGACAACCAUUCUAUUACUCGAGCUAAAAACCAUUUCCAAACACUGAGCAAAUCAUGUCCUUCUAGAGAUAAAAAUAGAAAUAUAAGAGCCUUGAUAUGCCCGUUAUCUGAUUAUCUUACAGUGAAGAAAGCCAUAUAUCUGACUGCGAGUGUUAGUGAAAUCUGUAUGAUUGUACCAUCGAAAAUAAAGCCCAGCCAUAGUAGAGAUGCGAUUCCAAAUGCAAGGCCCAGAGCAACACUGGUCAAAGAAGAUACAGAUUAGCAUUGGUAGCAUAGUUUGGUAUCAUCUAGUUUGGAAUUGUAAAUCACAUAUGCUCCGAGUGAAACUUAUGAUAAAAACUUUAUUAUGGACCCUGCACUGGAAGUUUUUCCGAGAACCGUUCAAUAAAAUAACUGAUAGACAACAAUAGCAGUCCAGUAGAAUGCAAGGUUAUUUAGUAAGAAUACAGUACAAAAUAAUCUUAUAAUUGUACAUGGCGUAAUUUGGUAACUAUGCAAUAACCCAAUGGUGGGUGUGCGUUGGCUAUGUUUCAAAGUUCAGUCGUGGGCAGAAUUAUCAUUGUCGGUUACAUUUUCCCGGAUCAAAUAAAUAUGAGUUGGCCGUUGCUUCUUCUUAAGAAUAUGCAAAGUAGUUUCAUCCAAACACAUCCCACCCUGCCCCAUCCCAAACCCCUCUGGUCUCUUUUUUCCAACAUGGUGCGAUUUAUUUUAAAUGAAGUGAAAAUACACUUGUAUUAAAUUUCACAUACAAGUGUACCAAUAUAAUGUAUACUUUUACUUCUUAGUGUGAAGCAUACAUUCUAAAGCCCAAAUAGACUUGUAAUCUGUAUACUAUGUCAAUCAUUCCAUUUUGAUUAUCAUAAUGGAACUGCUCCCAAUAAAACACAGGAAUGGGCAUGCAGACAAGGGGAAAGCAUGCAUUCUAAAAAAAAUCAAAAGAUGAACAAUUUGGGAGUCAGAGUACCAUACCUAUCGUUCAUUAAGGAUUCUCCUUCGAUUAUCGUACUGAGCUUUUUGCUUGCGCCUAGGUCUUUUAGAAGAGCAAUCAUAGUAACAUGAUCGGUUGCACUGAGCGUCCGCCGAACAAGAAUGAUGUUUUCCAGUUCCAGUCAUACGGAAAAGUAAGCUACGACAAAUUAGGCAUCGGAACAUUAAACUGAAUUGCCUAUGUCCGUUAUCAAUCCAGGCACACACAUACCUUUAUAGGAGCGCCAAGCAAAAAUGUUGAGAUCACCACACCUAGAACAGCAAGUAACACCAUCUGUACCAUGCAUUUCUUCUGCAAAGUAAACACUUUAGUAUACACUGAAUAGUAAUAUAUGCAUCUGCGGUGCUACAUAUAACAGUUGAACACUGGAAGCUGACCAUGUAAGUAAAUCUGAUGGCAACAAGCCAACAAUUAAUCACAACACCAUCUCAACUUAGAGAACCAUUUGUUUCCUAUGGGCUGCUGAGCGCCAUGUUGUGCCCAACCCACUGAAUAAUUAGUGUCAUAUGCACCCGAAUAGCAAAGCUUAGUGACCUGGUCAAUGACAUAGCUUGGUGAGAGCUAGAGCAACUUACUUAGUUCUAUCUCUCGUUCUCUUUACAACUUUCAGAAAAGUAAUCUUGCAACAAUGACAAUGGUUGGCAGACCUUGUUGCUGCAUGCAUUUCACAAGUACACUGACUGCAAGAAAAUUGUACGAAGAGUAAUCCACAUGGUUUAGGUAGAAGCAAUCCCACAACAGGUGGGCACAACCAGUACCUUGAAGCAUCAAUAGGAAAAUUGCCAUAAGAUUUUCCGUACAGUUUUGUAGUAUACUUACAAAUUAUUUCGCCCUGUCCAGCUUUUCACACAUUAGUUUCAGAUAAGUUGGUCCUAACAAGCCAGUUCAUAUAUUCAGUAGUGCCACAAAUUCAGUUUAAUGCCUUACCUUGAUGGUCCCUUGGAGGAUCUACAUCCACCCCCUGCUUACUUCUUCAUUCUUCUACUGUUUAUUCGCUUGAGUUGCACCUCGCUUUUCUUAUCCCUAUUCAAUUACCCAACAGUGAAUCAAAUGAGUAUUUAGGUGAGCUAGACUUACAGAAAUUAACUCUGAAACCGAGUAUUUGUUUGAUGCUGCGGGGUACGUGUGCUCAUAAGCUACUAUAUCAGACGGAGAUCUGAUUGAUUAGCACCAAAAAAUUGAACACGUGAGGAUCCCACCAACUCUACUACUUACCAUGGAAGCUGAUUAAUAACACACGAAAAAAAUCACCGGAUUGAUUUGAAUUAAAGGUUCACCUGAUUGAUUUGUGAUAGACCAUCAGUGCCGUCGACGGUGCCCGUAGGGAGAACUGCAGGAGAUCGUCGACGGCCCAGCCAGAUGAUGACAAGGACGGUGAUGACGACACCUCCUGCGCCGUGGCCGAGACCGGCGCCGCCUUGGCGACGAUGGCGGCGCUGUCUGGGGAGGUGGUUCGGAUGCUCAGUGCGGCUAGGCAAGCCGGAAACGAACGGCGUCGUGUCAGAUGACUCGGAUCUGGGCGUCCCGUCGUCGAUCUGGUCGAGAGGAAGGCCGGAAGUCGCGAGAGAAGGUCUGGCAGAGCUUGGUCCAUGGCCAUGGUGUUCUGCAACAUGGGAACGGGGAGAGGGAGAGAGAUUAGUGAGGAGAGAGAGAGAGAAGGGAGGAGGAGGGUGUUGGCACGGCUAACCGGCCGAGGAGGUCGGCGGCGGCUCGCCAUAGCAAAUGAGGCGGUGACUGGACAUCACACAUCAGCCGAACGACGGGCGGCGACCGCAUCCAUGCGGCAGCAACCUAGCGGAGGAGCCGCGGACGGCAACGGCGAUCGCAUCUGUGGGGCAGCGGCCGAGCGGAGGAGCGGUGGUGUGAGGCGGCGGCGGCGGCCGGCCGUGUAGGGGGUGGGCGAGCGAGGGCGGUGGCGUAUGGGCGAGCGAGGGCGGUGGCAUAUGGGCGAGUGGGUAUCGUGCGUGCGAGGGGCGGUUUUUCUUAUGGAUGACUCGAUGGAGGUGUGCGUUUGAUUGUAGUGGCUUAAUGCGUGGCUUGCAGCAUUAAACACGGAAGAAUUAAGGGCCAUUAGAUCUUGACGAUUGAUGGAUGUGAUUGUUUGGAUCUGCCCCUCUCUUCCUUUUAUAGUGGUAGUAGAUGAACAAGAUUUAGGUGACACGCCGGAGAAACCAAGAAAGUGAAGGUGACACAGACCGUUCGAAAGCAUGCAUGUGCCCAUCGCACUUAAAGGCCAUCUUGGAAAAAUACAGCCUUGGAUAAGGUCCAAGCUUAAAAAUCAAAGGGCAUGUACAGCACGCUGCUGUCAAAACACUGAAUGAGAGCAAUACAUCAACCAUUUAAAACAGUUGAUGUUCAGGUGGACAGUUUUUUGCCGUGACUUUAAAAAAAAAACUUAAUGUCAAUCAAAAUGAAUACUACUACUUCACGAGCGAAUUUCCGAAAUAUACUUUUGACUUUGUGAGUCAGGCGAAACAAUCAAAGAUGCAGUUCAAUUAGAAAAAUGGACAAAAGUAAAUAUAAUAUGAAAUAAAUAACUCCAGAAUAAUCUGUUACAUAUAUAAUGGUCUGCCAUACAUAUCAAAGAACAGAAAAGAUAUAUACACAACCCUCCUCAUGACCACGGAGUAUAGAACCUAACUAGUAGAUGAUCAGAGCACAGAAUAAUCUCGCCUGUACAAAGCUAGAUCAGGCCAUCCUAAGAGAAGCACGACGAUGAAUGAAAAUGACACGACGAUCGCAUCCAUCCAAUCCAAGCAAUAAAUAACCGAGCCAAACGAUCAGGCGUACGCGCCCUGCUGCUUGUACCCGCCGCCGUUGCGGUGGUCGCGGCG
RNAcentral lists this long non-coding RNA (11507 nucleotides) under Triticum aestivum (bread wheat). RNAcentral's name for it is "long non-coding RNA (TAES_LNC007363)". Lineage: Eukaryota; Viridiplantae; Streptophyta; Magnoliopsida; Poales; Poaceae. The record is from RNAcentral.